Molecule: ribosomal RNA, 274 nt
Filed under: uncultured bacterium
Lineage: Bacteria
Description: partial 16S ribosomal RNA
Rfam family: Bacterial small subunit ribosomal RNA
Source: RNAcentral
AUACAGAGGGUGCGAGCGUUAAUCGGAAUUACUGGGCGUAAAGCGCGCGUAGGCGGUUAUUUAAGUCAGAUGUGAAAUCCCUGGGCUCAACCUAGGAACUGCAUCUGAAACUGGAUAACUAGAGUUUAGGAGAGGGGAGUAGAAUUUCGGGUGUAGCGGUGAAAUGCAUAGAGAUCCGAAGGAAUACCAGUGGCGAAGGCGACUCCCUGGCCUAGAACUGACGCUGAGGUGCGAAAGCGUGGGUAGCAAACGGAAUUAGAAACCCUAGUAGUCC